AACGAACGCUGGCGGCGUGGAUAAGACAUGCAAGUCGAACGGGAUUACUUCUGUAGCAAUACGGAAGUAAUUUAGUGGCGAACGGGUGCGUAACACGUGGGCAAUCUGCCGAGAAGUGGGGGAUAGCUCGCCGAAAGGCGAAUUAAUACCGCAUGCGAUCAGAGGCGACAUCGCUUCGAAAUCAAAGCCGGGGUAACCUGGCGCUUUUUGAGGAGCCCGCGGCCUAUCAGCUAGUUGGUGAGGUAACGGCUCACCAAGGCUAUGACGGGUAGCUGGUCUGAGAGGACGACCAGUCACACUGGGAACUGAGACACGGGUCCAGACACCUACGGGUGGCAGCAGUCGAGAAUUUUUUCUCAAUGGGGGCAACCCUGAAGGAGCGACGCCGCGUGGAGGAUGAAGGCUUUC
RNAcentral lists this ribosomal RNA (408 nucleotides) under uncultured bacterium. RNAcentral's name for it is "bacterial SSU rRNA". It matches the Rfam family "Bacterial small subunit ribosomal RNA", at positions 29 to 419 of the family's 1533-position model. The record is from RNAcentral.